Molecule: long non-coding RNA, 5362 nt
Organism: Catharus ustulatus (Swainson's thrush)
Lineage: Eukaryota; Metazoa; Chordata; Aves; Passeriformes; Turdidae
Exons: 3
Source: RefSeq, a predicted model, not a curated record
CUAAAACUGAAUUAAAUAAUUGAUUUAUCAGAAAUGUUUUAUUCCUCAUUCUAGAUCUGUGCAGAUCUAAGUUAUAAACCAGGAAAGCAGCAGAAAGUUGUACUUGUAAAUAUUUCAGAGAAAACUGCUGUUCUGCAGAACUUUAUGCUGUUUUUCUCUGGUGCUAUUGAGUGCUGUGCAGAAGCUCAUUUGGGAAAUGUAUUCUUUGAUUUUGGUAAUCAAUUGAUCAACAUUUGACGCUUUGCUCAGACGCACAGCUAUUGUGAAGAGCUGUUCUUUCAAAUAUCCAUUUGAUUGUGUUUGUGAUGCUUGCUUUAUUCAACUCUGCUCCAGGCAAAUUAAAAUGUACUGCUAUAUAAUAAGUAUGGGAAAGUUAGCAUUCACAAUUUAAGGAUAAAACAUUUUGACAGUUCUAUUCUACAUUUGCAUUUAAAAAUCGUAAUGCAUUUGAUUAGACCCUAUGUUUGUUGUAGGAUCUCUUGUAGGCAUUGCUGCUGUGAGAUUGUUGCCUUUCAGGAUUUGUUCUGGACUCUGUGUCUGAGGGGGAGCACAAAAGCCUGCUGGUUCCACAGGCAUGUUAUUUUCUGCUCCAUGGUAUGUCUCAUUCUGUUUAAUUUCUGAUGGGGCUCCACCUGCACUGCUGCUGCUGUGUCAUCUGUGUUUGUGUCUGAGAUAUUUUGGCUGUGCAGAGUUAGGCAGGUACACGUGCAUUGCUCUGCCUUUUGUGCUUGCCGUGCUUUUCCAUUGGUACUCAAACUCCCAGUUUUUGAGGCACUGUAGAAUCCCCACGGGGACAGAGGCAGGGACAGGAGAUGCUGCCACCACAGGCAUUAUCCUGCUGCUGAACAGGUGAUGCUCAAUCACAGCGUGGGCACAGACAAUGGGCAGCAUUCUGAGCUCAGGACAACGAUCGCUGUCACAGGCUGAUGUCUGAAGGAUGGUCACUAAAACUAUCAGGAUUAAUUGCUCCCCUUUUAUUUUAUCCAUCAUCUUUCUGCAUUAGGAGUGUUCAGGGAGGAUUCAAGUAACCUGAUAUGACAUCUGCAACAUUGCUAUGGCCAAGAAAACUUUCAUUCCUGUAAUAAGCCUGUCUCAAGAUACACUGUCUCAAGACACCCUGUGUAAAUUACACCAAGUGUUAAAAAAACCCCAAAAACUAACAAACAUGCUGGGUAGAUUGUUCAGGCUUUUCAGAAAAGCAGAAAUGAAGAAAAAAAAAUUGUAGAGUUUACAGGAAAAUGUAUUUGAACUGAAGUGAGGCCUUCUCCCCAGUCUUUUAGCCAAUAUUAGAGACUUUGUGUAAUUAUUAGAUUUCCUUUGGGAAGCAUGUGGACUUAGGUGAUGCCAGAAAUUUGUGCAGGAGCCCCUUUCUACAUUACACCCCAUUACUCAGCCUCCAAAGCCCUGAAAACUCAAACAGCCUCAAACUGCUGUGAACUGUCAUUUUCCAUACCUUACUUCACAUUUGGGAGCUGUUUCUUCUGACUCAGCAAUAAAUAGCAGAGAAGGGAUGGACUGUGGGAAUUCAGAGAUAUUAUGUGCACAAUGUCAUUUGCUGACUGUGAAGGGGACCACUGGUGAAUCCUCUCUGUGCACCCAGACUGGGUCUUGCAUUGAAAAACAUCAAAAUCUGAAUUAUACAGAGGCUAUGCAGCACUAUGGGUAACUACUUUCGCCUUUUAUGUCUUAUUAUGUUGUUAAUUAGUUAAUGUUUGUAAAGCACUUUGAAGAUGAAAAGCCCUAUAUAAGUUCUAAGUGUUAUUAUCUCUAGAGACCUAGGUUCAAUUCAAAGGUGCUUAAUUACAUAUGCCAUAAAUUAGACUUAAUGAGUUGUAGAAUCAUACAUUUUAUGCAAUGCAUGCAGAAUUCUCAGCCAGAGCUGGGUCUUAUGGUCUGCUGCAAUACUUCUUUAGGUAUUCAGAGCUGUUAAGAAAAUUACACAAAAAUAGAGCAGAUAAUUUCUAAUAACAAUUGGAUUGCAUUUCAGUACGAUUUGGGACUUGUUGGAGCAAAUCACUGAGAGCUUUGCUCAGCUGUAUCUAGGGAUUUUCCAGUAACCAAAUUGCUGAAGGUAACAGUUUUGGAGUUAUUUUAAUUAUGAUAUAGACAUAAUUCUAAUUCAUACUUCUGUAUUUUGGCUUAGCAGAAGGGUGCUGAGAGGUUUUGGUGUGACUGUUGUCCUUCCAGUAAGACCCUGAAAUGUCCCUUUAGAGGACCACUUCAUGUUGGGUUAUGUUCACAGGCAUAAAAGAAGAAUUUCCCAUCUCUAGAGAUACCACUGUGUAAUUUAUAACAGGCCAUUACGAGCGGGUAGCCUGCAAAAAGGGGAAGCCACAGUUAUAGGAAAAUGUGGUUUCAUCGGCUUUGCAGAGCUGAGAGUUUCCAUGUUUUGUAACUCACAUAUUUUGUGGCCAGAAAGCUGCAGACUUUGCCCUGCUGCAGCCCCAGCCUCGGGGCAGAUGUCCACAGUGAGCAGGCAGCUUCUCCUGGCUCCUGCCCAGCCAGCAGGCUCAGAGGCACACAAAACCAGCAGGAUCACCCACCUGACCUGAAGGGCUCUCAGGUGCUCCUGCAGCAGAAUAUAUCCAUUUUACCUUGGGCCUUCCACAGGCAUAUAGAAGGAGGCAGGAUUUAUCCUGAGUAUAAAUCUGCUAGGAGUGAUUGUGUUCGUUAGUACAACCCAAGUAGAUUGGAAGAACUAAUUAUUAGCAAUUUACUAGGAGUGUCGCUAACAGACUUACUUGAAAGUAUUUAUCCCGAAGUGAAAGUCAUUUGAUUUGGUUAAUGUUUAUUGUAAGCAUAUGCAGAGUGUCUUCCAGGGGAAAAUGUAUUUUUGAGUGCUCCAGACAAGUGAAACUGGUGAGCCCGCAGUCCAGAGAAAGCAUCUGCAACCGCAGCCAAAAGGGGAACGAGAUUUCUGACAUUCUUUCAAGACAUGUGUUUGAAGCAUGGGUUCCCAUCACUUUCAGAGCCUCUUGCAGGCCUUUUUCUUUAUAUAGAUUUAGACAAGUCCAUGUGGGCCUAGCUUCAGCGGGAUAAACGCCUCUGUGAUUUCUCCCUCAUCCAUUCUCUACUCUUACAGUAAUGCUUAUUUUGAACAGAAUGUGUUCUUUAAAUGGGCCAGAGCACAGUUCCCUACAGUAUUUACCACUCACUUCUCCAUAUUCCCAAGAAAUGGGACUAGUCUUCCACCAUAAUUACUGGGGUGCAUCUCUUUCAAAAACAAGACAUUAUUUUGGUGAAUACUUUUCACAUACUCUAAUAAAUAGGAACUUCACAUGAAUGCUGAUUUGAGCUCCAAGCUGUGGUUAAAUGUUUUAAUAGUGCAGCAAACUUAUCAACAAACCUUUCCUUCCCUACCCUUCCCCCUUCCCUUUUUACUAUGAACAGAUUUUUAUCCGACUGGCUUGUGACUUGGGGAUUUUUACAAGCGGGUUUAGGAACUUGUCAAAUAUUUGAAAAUUUGAGUCUGAAAACAAAACAGAAAAUCCCACAACUUAAAAGCCCCAUAUUUUAUACAUUGUGUGUUAACUGGGUAAAAUUUUGACUUGCUGAAAUACCUAUAGGACUCUAUUCUCUGACCUAACUAUUAAUACUUAACUAGAAGUUACCGGUCUGAUGCCUUUUUUUAAUACUCCAAGACACCAUUUAUACUGACAUAAUGCACUGAGCUACCAAAUCAGUGAAGCUGCACAGCACUCUUUGUUUCCAAAUGCCUGUAGCCUUUUGUCAGAAGGUGGUAAGAAUAUUCAUAUUGGUUUUAUUUAACUUUGGUAUUUCCAGCCUCCUUUCCUCCUCUGUUUCCAAGAUGUCAGUGACUGACAUACUCUGGCAGUGAUAUCACUGCUCUCAGACAUGAGUGAAGAACCUCUCUGAGCAAGUGGGACAGUUGUGAGCUUGAGCAGCUGCCCUGAGGUGCCUGUUGCAGGGGCACCAGGCAGCAGGGACAACUUACAGCAGGGAUCACCUUGGUACUGCCAGACCUUCCAGUCUGGCCAGGACACCACAGCCUGGGGAGGCUGCUCCUCCAGACAAUGCUCAUGGGCUCAAGAAGCAGUAAAUGUGCAUGGAGAAGCAACUUGCUAAGUUAAUGUCCAGUACAGAACUCUGGUCACUUGGUGUUUGUGUCUGCUUGGGAGUUUUACAAAAACUGGCCAUGCUUUUGGCUUGUGACUUCCUCAGACAUUUUCCUGUGUUAAAUCCCUAACUUAACUAAGCACUGAUCUUUCUCCUCUGAAAAUCUUUGGCUGUGGAAGCAUUGCCCCUGCAGGAGGUCUGGAAGACUUCUGGAUCAUUACUGGUUCUGACUUCCUCUCUCUGUGAGCAAAGAGUCAUCACAGGUCAACUGCAGAGUGAAAAGUGCGGCAGCAAACUGUGGGGCAAACAGGGAAGCAAGCUAAUGCUAUCUCCUGCUUUCACCAGAUAAAAGUCAGAAAUACCAUAACCACUAAAAGACAUCUUGAAUCAAGAAACACUUUGAUGGACCCAGUCUUCAGGGUUGCAUUGAGUUCCUCAGACAGGUAUAGACAGAUGUACCCCAGUCGUGUGGCACCCAUGAAUAGAUCCAGUGAGCCUGUGCAGCUGUGUUUUGAUCAGCAGAGAGGGUUCCUGGCAUGGAGAACUGAAAUCACCUUGUGGGUAUGACAGGCACAUCUAAGUAUGUAGCAAGUGAAAAUCAAGGGUUUCUCUAAGGAAGAAGAAAGGACACUACCACAAAAAAUUAAAAGUAAAGUAACCUUUAAUAAUCGCAGCAAUGCAAACCCCAUUUUAUGCAUUGCUCUAAAUUGGCAUUUAGCCAUCCAUCAUUUGCUGGCUCAUAAAGGUGAUUUGUGCUCUUCCCUCCCUGUUUUAGGAUGGCCUCUUUUCAGCACUCCUUUCCCAUAGGCACACAACUGGGACCCAAACAAUUUUUGUCUCUUCCUCUGGAGCUCUCUAACACAUGGGAAAAGGAGGAGCUGUGAGCAGCUUGCUUUCUUCUUCGUUGUGUAAUGCUAUUUAUAAACUCUGCCGAUGGACACUUGGGAGGUGUCUAAAAUGUUAGACAAGGAAAUGGGUAUAACUCAGAGGAACCCUGACCUUGACUGAAUAGGGUCAAAAAGCCUCAACCACCUCUUUCAUUUGAAACUCCUCAUUUACAGACUCAGACUUCCAUUGUCGCUUAGAGCUGACAAAUACGUAUGGGGUCUAUGUUAGUCUGAAAGAUAAGAGAAGUGCCGAGGAAACUUCUCCGUGUGAGCGCUCAGAGCCCCCCUGGCAGUGCCAGUGCCAGUGCCAAGGACAGAGGCUGGCACACCAGAGCCCCCUGGCAGUGCCAGUGCCAAGGACAGAGGCUGACACACCCAGAGCCCCCUGGCAGUGCCAG